AUUGAACGCUGGCGGCAGGCCUAACACAUGCAAGUCGAACGGUAACAGGAAUCAGCUUGCUGAUUCGCUGACGAGUGGCGGACGGGUGAGUAAUGUCUGGGAAACUGCCUGAUGGAGGGGGAUAACUACUGGAAACGGUAGCUAAUACCGCAUAACGUCGCAAGACCAAAGAGGGGGACCUUCGGGCCUCUUGCCAUCGGAUGUGCCCAGAUGGGAUUAGCUAGUAGGUGGGGUAACGGCUCACCUAGGCGACGAUCCCUAGCUGGUCUGAGAGGAUGACCAGCCAAACUGGAACUGAGACACGGUCCAGACUCCUACGGGAGGCAGCAGUGGGGAAUAUUGCACAAUGGGCGCAAGCCUGAUGCAGCCAUGCCGCGUGUAUGAAGAAGGCCUUCGGGUUGUAAAGUACUUUCAGCGAGGAGGAAGGUGUUGUGGUUAAUAACCGCAGCAAUUGACGUUACUCGCAGAAGAAGCACCGGCUAACUCCGUGCCAGCCGCCGCAGUAA
Molecule: ribosomal RNA, 506 nt
Filed under: uncultured bacterium
Lineage: Bacteria
Description: partial 16S ribosomal RNA
Rfam family: Bacterial small subunit ribosomal RNA
Source: RNAcentral